UAGUGAUAUUACAGUAUUACUGUUGCAUUUUUCAUUUGAUUGCUAUAAUCACGUGAUAUCCGGUUUAACCUGUUUAUAACCGUUUAAAGGUUACAAGAAUAAAAUACUUCUCUGCAGCUACUUCAGUUGAAUUCGAAGAAGUCGACAAGAUGCAUUAUUUACUAACAAUCUUUACACUUUGUUAUAGUUUAACAUAUGCAUACAUUACUUACAUCGAAGUUAAAUAUCCUCUACCUGGAGAGAAAUCCCCACCAGGAAGUCCUUGGCCAUUCCCCAAAAAAUGGAAGGCAUCUCCAAGAUUAUUAACGAUAGAUCCGAAUACUUUCUAUCUGUCAACAAAUAUGAAGAAUUGUGACGUUAUCGACGAAGGUCUAAAACGAUACAGAGAUUAUAUUCUCAUAGAUAAGCGAAAUGGUAAGAAAGACGAAGAUCUUCCCAUUCUGAAAGGAUUGAACGUCGAUAUUCGAAAAUUGGACAAGAAAGAUUGUGGAUAUCCUUCUCAUAACCAAGACGAAUCAUAUUUACUCAGUGUUCCUGAAUCUGGAAUUUCUACAAUUCAAGCAGAAACGGUUUGGGGAGCAUUAAGAGGAUUAGAAACAUUCAGUCAACUUGUAUAUCAAGAUAGAAAAAAUGCAGUAAGUAUGAAUUUUAAAACUUUAAAAAGUGAUGUUUAUCGUUAUUUUAUAUACCAAACUUUAUGUUUACAGUAUAGAAUCAAUAUUACCGAAAUUGAAGAUGCACCCAGAUAUAAAUACAGAGGACUUCUGAUAGAUACAUCUCGUCAUUUCCAAGUAAAAAAGGUUCUGAAAAAAAAUUUGGAUGCCAUGGCAUAUAACAAGUUUAAUGUAUUUCACUGGCAUAUAGUUGAUGAUCAAUCGUUUCCAUUUGAAAGUAAAACUUAUCCCAAUCUAACUACUGUUGGAGCGUAUAGUCCUAAACACGUUUAUACCUACGAAGAUAUCAAAGAAGUGAUAGAAUAUGCACGACUUCGUGGUAUAAGAGUCAUUCCAGAAUUUGAUACACCGGGACAUACACAAGCAAUCGGAAAAGCUUUCCCUCAACUUUUGACGCCAUGCUAUGGCGAAGGACUUGAUAAGCCCUAUACUCCAAAUUACACUGAACAUGCUUCUGCUGAAAUUCUUAAUCCAAUGGAAGAUUUCACUUACGAUUUCUUCAAAGCUCUUUUCGAAGAAGUGAAAGGUGUUUUCCCGGAUGAGUACAUUCAUCUCGGUAUGGACGAAGUUUAUUAUGCUUGCUGGAAAUCAAAUCCCGAAAUUAAGAAAUUUAUGGAAGAACAUAACAUGAAAGAUUAUAGCGAUUUAGAAACAUAUUAUGUAAAUAGAACCUUACACAAUGUGAAAGAUAUUGGUUAUAAAUAUAUGAUAUGGCAAGAUCCCAUCGAUAAUGGAGUUGUGGCUGAACCUGAUACGAUCGUUCAGGUAUGGAAAGAUACAGAAUUAGAUAUAAAAAUGAAAAAAUGGCAAGAAUAUAUCGAGCCUAUAGCUCAAAAAGGUUAUCAGAUGGUAUUGUCUUCAUGUUGGUAUCUGAAUUACAUUAGCUAUGGACAAGAUUGGAAGAAAUAUUAUAAAUGCGAUCCAAGAGGAUUUAAUGCUACCGAGGAACAGAAGAAUUUGAUAAUCGGCGGAGAAGCCUGUAUGUGGGGAGAAUAUGUUGAUGCUACUAAUAUUUUGUCUCGUUUAUGGCCACGUGCUUCAGCUGUUGCCGAACGAUUAUGGAGUCCAGAAAACAUUAACGAUGCUGACAGUGCUAGUUUUAGAUUAGACGAACACAGAUGUAGAAUGUUAAGAAGAGGAAUUCCUGCUCAACCAAUCCUUAACGGAUUUUGUGGUGAUUACGAAUGGGAUAUGGAAGAAUCAAGCAAUACCAAUGCGGUAGACAGAAUACAUUUCGAUAUAUUACUCUAUACUAUCGUUCUCAUUGUUUAUCUCUUCCACAGGUUUUAAUAACUUAUUUGGGUUGUGGAACACAACUAUAAGUUCUAUUAAUUCUUCUACAUGAAAAAAAACCUAACAGAUUGUCUUAUUUAUAUAACUUUUGUUUGUUUUUUUUCUAGUCUUUGAAUAUGUUUUCAAGAUGUUCAUAAUUUAUUUUGAUUCUCUUGAUGGCCAUAUUCGCAUGCUUCCUAUACUGCAAAUCCAUAAAAAUGGAGUCAAAACUACUCCCAUUAUAUUUUUAUACCAUUCUUUUUACAUUCAAAAUCAAUUUUAUUUUUAUUUUUGUGGAAGUUUUUUUCAUCUAUACACUUUGAUAUAUGUUAUGAUUAUUUAGUCAUUUGUAGUUUUAUGUAUACUCGAACUCUCUUGAGAAAAUAAAAU
RNAcentral lists this unclassified non-coding RNA (2336 nucleotides) under Centruroides sculpturatus (bark scorpion). RNAcentral describes it as "beta-hexosaminidase subunit beta-like, transcript variant X1". Lineage: Eukaryota; Metazoa; Arthropoda; Arachnida; Scorpiones; Buthidae. The record is from RNAcentral.